Long non-coding RNA from Poecile atricapillus (Black-capped chickadee), 172 nucleotides. RefSeq lists it as uncharacterized. The transcript has 3 exons. NCBI's taxonomy places the organism in Eukaryota, Metazoa, Chordata, Aves, Passeriformes, Paridae. The record is from RefSeq and is a predicted model, not a curated record.
AGAUCAAGGUUUGGGGUGUGGUCAAGGUUUGGGGGUCAAGGGUUGGAGAUCAAGGGUUGGAGAUCAAGAGUUGGAGGUCAAGGGUUGGAGGUCAAGGGUUGGAGGUCAAGGGUUGGAGAUCAAGGGUUGGGGUGUGGUCAAGGAUGUUGGAUAUCAGAAAAGUUUGGUCAUC